Gorilla gorilla gorilla (western lowland gorilla) is the source of this 85-nucleotide small nuclear RNA. Its record names the gene U4. It matches the Rfam family "U4 spliceosomal RNA". Rfam says of the family: U4 small nuclear RNA (U4 snRNA) is a component of the major U2-dependent spliceosome. The record is from Ensembl. NCBI's taxonomy places the organism in Eukaryota, Metazoa, Chordata, Mammalia, Primates, Hominidae.
AGCUUUGUGCAGUGGCAGUAUCGUAGCCAGUGAGAUUUAUCGGAGGCGUGAUCACUGCUAAUUGAAAACUUUUCUAUAAAGGAAC